Gasterosteus aculeatus (three-spined stickleback) is the source of this 528-nucleotide long non-coding RNA. The record is from Ensembl. NCBI's taxonomy places the organism in Eukaryota, Metazoa, Chordata, Actinopteri, Perciformes, Gasterosteidae.
AUGCAGAGUCUGUCGGGGACAUGCUGCUGGAGGAGUAGAAAACACCACGCUAGAAAAACGGUCAUACAACAGUCAUGCUACCGUUGUACUAGUACAAAGUUCAUACCAACGUUGUACUAUCAUACGGUAGAACAACGUUCAUACAGAACCACGUGCUCCAUGCGUUUGUCCUCCAACAGGAAGUUGUUAUUAAAUGAAGGACAACAACCCAGUGGAUCCAAAGAACCUCUUAGAACAGCUCUGGAGCAGCAGGACUCAGACAGACAUCAUACAGGGACAUCACAUGGUUGUAAGCCCCGCCCCUCUGUGGUGUGCAGCACAUUUGAUGUUAUCAAAAUGUCCUCUCGAAUGACUGAAAGGCGAAGAACCCGAAACCAUCAAAAUCAGUUGGACUUUAAGGUCACAUUUAAUGAAGAAGAUCCAUCACCAGAUAUCUGCACUGGGUCUCAGGGUCUCUUUGGGGGCUCUAAACUGGAGGUGGACUUCUGGAUUGAUCAGUAUGGAUGCGUUUUCAGGUUGAUUCUUUAA